This 675-nucleotide ribosomal RNA is filed under the name uncultured bacterium. RNAcentral describes it as "bacterial SSU rRNA". It matches the Rfam family "Bacterial small subunit ribosomal RNA", at positions 825 to 1498 of the family's 1533-position model. The record is from RNAcentral.
CCGGGUAUCGAUCCCUGUUGUGCCGAGGCUAACGCAUUUAGCAUUCCGCCUGGGGAGUACGGUCGCAAGGCUGAAACUCAAAGGGAUUGACGGGGGCCCGCACAAGCGGUGGAGCAUGUGGUUCAAUUCGACGCAACGCGAAGGACUUUACCCAGGCUCGAACGGCAAGUGACAUCCGGCGAAAGCCGGCUCCCGCAAGGGCAGUUGCCGAGGUGCUGCAUGGCUGUCGUCAGCUCGUGUCGUGAGAUGUUGGGUUAAGUCCCGCAACGAGCGCAACCCUUGUCCGCUGUUGCCAUCAGGUUAAGCUGGGCACUCUGCGGAGACUGCCGGUGAUAAACCGGAGGAAGGUGGGGAUGACGUCAAGUCAGCAUGGCCUUUAUGUCUGGGGCUACACACGUGCUACAAUGGCAGAUACAAACCGUCGCGAGACCGCAAGGUGGAGCUAAUCGGAGAAAGUCUGUCUCAGUUCGGAUUGCAGGCUGCAACUCGCCUGCAUGAAGUUGGAAUCGCUAGUAAUCGCGGAUCAGCACGCCGCGGUGAAUACGUUCCCGGGCCUUGUACACACCGCCCGUCACAUCACGAAAGCUGGCUGUACUAGAAGUCGCCGCGCUAACCCGCAAGGGAGGCAAGCGCCUAAGGUAUGGUUAGUGAUUGGGGUGAAGUCGUAACAAGGUA